This 341-nucleotide unclassified non-coding RNA is filed under the name Hevea brasiliensis (rubber tree). The record is from RNAcentral. Lineage: Eukaryota; Viridiplantae; Streptophyta; Magnoliopsida; Malpighiales; Euphorbiaceae.
AAAAAAAAAAAAAAACUGUGGCAAAGUAAAAUCUAGCAAGAACUACAAGAAGAUUGUUUGAUCAUAUCCACCAGGAAGUUGGCCUGUGCUUUAUGUGAAUACAAUCAGAGAGGAUGGAGUGAAACUAUGAAAUCAGUACAGAAAUUAAACCAUUGGGAAAAUGGCUUUGAUGAUCGAAUCUAAGUCCAAGCAAGGGCUAAAAGAAAUGCAUACUCAAUAGAAAAAUUAUCAGGGAAGGAGAAAAAACACACAAGGUGGAAAAAAGACCAAGAACUGAGUUAUGAAAAGUGAAGCUGUUAUAUAAAAAUAAGAACUUACGAUUUUCCCGACUAGUGGGUGUU